GGCGCGUUCGUCUAGUGGCUUAGGACGCCGCCCUCUCAAGGCGGAGAUCACGGGUUCGAACCCCGUACGCGCUACUA
RNAcentral lists this transfer RNA (77 nucleotides) under bacterium BRH_c32. Its description in RNAcentral is "tRNA-Glu". It matches the Rfam family "tRNA". From Rfam's summary of the family: Transfer RNA (tRNA) molecules are approximately 80 nucleotides in length. Their secondary structure includes four short double-helical elements and three loops (D, anti-codon, and T loops). Further hydrogen bonds mediate the characteristic L-shaped molecular structure. tRNAs have two regions of fundamental functional importance: the anti-codon, which is responsible for specific mRNA codon recognition, and the 3' end, to which the tRNAs corresponding amino acid is attached (by aminoacyl-tRNA synthetases). tRNAs cope with the degeneracy of the genetic code in two manners: having more than one tRNA (with a specific anti-codon) for a particular amino acid; and 'wobble' base-pairing, i.e. permitting non-standard base-pairing at the 3rd anti-codon position. The record is from RNAcentral.